GACGAACGCUGGCGGCGUGCUUAAUACAUGCCAGUCGAACGGACAGGCCCUGCUCUUGUGGGUUUCUCGAGUGGCGCACGGGUGUGUAUAACGCGUGUACCACGUCCUUGCCUUUGGGAUAACUUCCGGAAAAUGGGGCUCAUACCGGGUAUGACACCCUGCUCCACGGGGGGGGUUGGAGAGAUUCGGCGGUUGGGGCUGGACUCGCGGCUUAUCAGCUGGCUGGUGGGGGUGUGGCUUAUCACGGCUUUGACGGGUAGCCAGCCUGAGAGGGUGACAGGCCACAUUGGGACUGAGAUAGGGGCCAGAGGGCUACGGGAGGCAGCAGUGGGGAAUAUUGCACAAGGGGCGGAAGCCGGAUGCAGCAACGCCGCGUGCGGGAUGACGGCCGUCGGGGUGGAAGCCGCUUUCGCCGGUGACGAAGCGUGAGUGACGGUAAUGGGUAAAGAAGCACCGGCUAACUACGUG
This 468-nucleotide ribosomal RNA is filed under the name uncultured bacterium. RNAcentral's name for it is "partial 16S ribosomal RNA". It matches the Rfam family "Bacterial small subunit ribosomal RNA", at positions 28 to 507 of the family's 1533-position model. The record is from RNAcentral.